UUUGCCAGCAUGUGAUGUGGGACAUUUGUAAACAGCGAAACCGCCACGUUUGUUUAUCAGGUACCUCGGCCUCGUUGGCCCAGGUCACAGGCCAACGUCGUUCAACCCACAGGUCCCUAUAUUUCUUACCCAUUUAUUACAGCAGCGAUUAUACAGCUAGUGUCAAAGAAACAACAUUUCCUCGUUCCACAAUUUGUAACACCUUUAUCCUGACCCAGUACGAUAAAGGGAUACUUACAAGCGACUACAAGCUGAAGAACUGUGUGUAGCUGUCUCACUAAGAAGCUUUCCAGAUUAGCAAACAAAUACAAAUUAUUCAUAACACGUUAAUCGGAGAGUUCCAUGAAUAGCGGGUCACUACUGGUAGAGCUUGUUCAGAUCAUCUUUAAAUUUGGCCUUCAGCUGCUCCCUCUUCAGCUUAAGCGCAGCGGUCACAAGCCCAGACUCUGGGGUCCAAGGUUCAGGCAGCAAAAUGAUCCUAGCUGGUAUUUCAAACUUCUCGAG
This 504-nucleotide long non-coding RNA is filed under the name Triticum aestivum (bread wheat). RNAcentral's name for it is "long non-coding RNA (TAES_LNC005599)". Lineage: Eukaryota; Viridiplantae; Streptophyta; Magnoliopsida; Poales; Poaceae. The record is from RNAcentral.